AGGGUGCGAGCGUUAAUCGGAAUUACUGGGCGUAAAGCGAGCGCAGACGGUUACUUAAGCAGGAUGUGAAAUCCCCGGGCUUAACCUGGGAACUGCGUUCUGAACUGGGUAGCUAGAGUAUGUCAGAGGGGGGUAGAAUUCCACGUGUAGCAGUGAAAUGCGUAGAGAUGUGGAGGAAUACCGAUGGCGAAGGCAGCCCCCUGGGAUAAUACUGACGUUCAUGCUCGAAAGCGUGGGUAGCAAACAGGAUUAGAUACCCUGGUAGUCCACGCCCUAAACGAUGUCAAUUAGCUGUUGGGCAACUUGAUUGCUUAGUAGCGUAGCUAACGCGUGAAAUUGACCGCCUGGGGAGUACGGUCGCAAGAUUAAAACUCAAAGGAAUUGACGGGGACCCGCACAAGCGGUGGAGCAUGUGGUUUAAUUCGACGCAACGCGAGGAACCUUACCAGAUCUUGAC
This 457-nucleotide ribosomal RNA is filed under the name uncultured bacterium. RNAcentral's name for it is "bacterial SSU rRNA". It matches the Rfam family "Bacterial small subunit ribosomal RNA", at positions 529 to 985 of the family's 1533-position model. The record is from RNAcentral.